CAUAAUUUUCAAAUGUUUCCACAAAAUAGGAACCAAGGGAACACUACCUAAUUUGUUCUAUGACAUCACAAUUUCCCUUAUACCUAAACCACACAAUGAUCUGAUCCUGAUGCACAGCUCCCUGAAUGCAAUCCCAUGGGAGAGAGAGCUGACCUCCCAGAAGUGAGGACAAUCAUGGGACCUCAGGGGAGACCUCCACUUCUGCCCACUUCUCCUCAUAUUCUUUUCCCAAGAGUAAACUGGAUAGUGACCUUUGGAUACAAGAAUAUAGGAGCAGUCAGUGACAGGAACCUGCUGGAUUCUGUCUGCAAUCGAAACUGAACUGAACUCGUCCCACAGCUCCCUGCACCCAAAACCUGUUGGGGGAAAGAGUAAGACCCUCAGAAGUGCAGACAAUCCUGAGAAGACAACUACUUUCUACCCACAUUCCUGAUCCAAGAAGAAAUUGCCUAGUGACAUCUGUGCCCUCUGGGCACAGUGACCUAGGAGCAGUCAGGGGCAGGACCCUUCAGGUUUCUGCCUGUGCCAAGAGCUGAAAGUCAGUCACCAGAAGUGCCUACACACCUGAGAGCAGAGGUAAUACCAACUCUUUUGAACCAAGCAACCUCCCUGGAGGCUUCAGGUCACACAAAGCCAGGAGCAGCUCUCUCUUCCCAGAUCCAGCUGAGAGAAAACAGUCUACAGGAGGGCUGAAACACAGGCUUACAGGAAGGUCAAGCCACUGUCAGAGACAGCAAGACCAGCUAACACCAGAGAGACAACCUGAUGGUGAGAGGCAAGCAUGGGGACAUAUGAAACAAAAACCAGGAACACUUGGCAUCAUCAGAGCCCAGUUCUACCACCAAAGCAAAUACUGGAUAUCCAAACACAACGGAAAAACAAGAUCUAGAUUUAGAAUCCCAUUUUAUGAUGAUGAUGAAGGACUUUAAGAAGGACAUAAAUAACUCCCUUAAAGAAAUACAGGACAACACAAGUAAACAAGUAGAAGCCCUUAAAGAGUAAACAAAAUUCCCUUCAAGAAUUACAGGAAAAUACAACCAAACAGGUCAAAGAAUUGAACAAAAACAUCCAAGAUUUAAAAUGGAAAUAGAAACAAUAAAGAAAGCACAAAGGGAGACAAGCCUGGAGAUAGAAAACCUAGGGAAGAAAUCAGGAGUCAUAGAUGCAAGCAUUAACAACAGAAUACAAGAAAGGAAGACAGACUCUCAGGAGCAGAAGACACCAUAAAAAACAUCAAAACAACCCCCAGAGAUAAUGUAAAAAGUAAAAAGCUCUUAUCUAAAACAUCCAGGAAAUCCAGGACACAAUAAGAAGAUCAAACUUAAGGCUAAUAUGUGUUGAACAGAGUGAAGACUCCCAACUUUAAGGGCCAGUAAAUAUCUUCAACAAAAUUGUAGAACAAAAUUUCCCUAACCUAUAGAAAAAGAUGCCUACAAACAUACAAGAAGGCUACAGAACUCUAAAUAGAUUGUACCAGAAAAGAAAUUUGUCCUGUCACAUAAUAAAGAAAACAUCAAUUGCACAAAGCAAAGAAAGAAUAUUAAAAGCAGUAAGCGGAAAAGAUCAAGUAACAUAUAAAGGCAGACCUCUAAGAAUUACACCAGACUUCUCACCAGAGACUAUGAAAGGCAGAAGAUCCUGGUCAGACGGCAUACAGAGCCAAAGAGAACAGAAAUGCCAGUCCAGGUUACUAUGUCCAGCAAAACUUUCAAUUAACAUAGAUGGAGAAACCAAGAUAUGCCAUGAUAAAACCAAAUUUACACAAUAUCUUUCUAUAAAUCAGGCCCUACAGAGGAUAAUAGAUGGAAAACUCAGACACAAGGAGGGAAGCUACACUCUAGAAAAAGCAAGAAAGUAAUCUCUUUGCAACAAAACCAAAAGAAGACAGACACACAAACAUAAUUCCACCUCUAACAACAAAAGUAACAGGAAAAAUAGUCACUAUUCCUUAAUAUCUCUUAAUAUCAAUGGAUUCAAUUCCCCUAUAAAAAGACAUAGACUGGAUACAUAAAGAGGACCGAGCAUUUUGCUGCAUACAAGAAACUCACAUGGCAAGAGAAGAUACAAGGCAAGUAAAACCUAUAAUGAAAUAAACAGCGUUUUCAAUUAUUUAACUCAUUUUAAUGUUAUUAAUAAAUUUACUACUUAUUGUAUUACGUGAGGCAACUCUGUCACCAACAGGUUCCUCAUUAAUUAAAUGGAAAAUUAAAGCCUUUAGAAGCAAGUGGAAAAUAACAUUGGAUUACACAAUUAAGAGACGUGAAAUGUAGUGAUUUUAUUAAUUUCCUUCUUUUGGUAGUAGUGAAUACUACCAAAAUAUAGUGGUAGCUUCUUCCUAAGGAAAAUGUAGAACAAGUUUUCUAGUGAAUUUUAUCAAUAUGAAUGAAUGAAUGAACGAAUGAAUGAAUGAAUGAAUGAAUGAAUAUGGAAAUUCUACAAGUUAAAAUGAACUCUUAAUUGUGUUUGGUAAUUUUUGCAAACUGGUGAUAUAGCUGAUCAGUAUCAGCAGAAUUGGUUGUUUUUGGUUAAUAAAUUUUAAUGAUUCAGCGUGGAAUAAUGGAGACAGCAUGACAGAUGAGAGAAGCUUAUGUCUUGGUCCCUAGGAAUCGGAAAGGGCAUAGCUACACUAGCAUGCCUCCUUUAAUGUCUUUAACUCAAUCAGGUCUCUGAACAUCAUUAGUUAGUGCCACCCAACUUCAGAGCAAAUAUCUUUUCUCCUUUUCCUGUUGCUUUGAUAAAAUACUGUGGCAAAUCAGCCUAAGGAAGGUGGUUCACCAUUCCAGGUACUCUCUGUCAGUCAUGGAGGAAGAAGUCAAGGCAGUAGGAUCUUAAAAGAAACCUGUUGCCUAGCACCCCAAUCAGAAAGCUCAGAAGAAUGCAGAUAUAAUGCUACACAUUUUCUCCUGGAUCCCCACAAGGGAAGGAUUCCUCCACAUUUAUAUAAUCAAGACAAUCCUCCAGGUCUAGAGUUUGACCUAAUGUAGAUAACCUUGCACUAUACCCAAGAGUUUGUCUCCUAAGUGAUUCUUUAUUUCUCAAAUUUGAGAUAACUAUCAAAAAGGAUGUUCCCCACUUAGAUAACUCUCUGAAAAUAUCCACACAAAAGUAUAUUUUACUAAUGUCCCAUUGUUUCUAUAUACAAGGAAGUUGACUAGAUACAUUUCUUACUACAGAUAAUUGGCAAUUAUCUACAUAUACAAACUGCUGUCCUACCUGACUUCUGUUUCUUGUAGAUGAGGUUAACCCAUACUACAUUACCAAUAUAAGACAGGAGAAAUCCCAGACCUUUCUCUGAUAUAUUAUAGUUAAAUUAAUAAGCAUAUAAGCAGCAUUGACUCAGAAAUUGUUUAAUUUAUAAUGCAGCAUUAUUGGAACACUAAAUCUUUGUGGUUUUCCAAAUAGAACCAUCUUUACAUAUUAUUAUAUACAUGGUAAAAUAUUUUUGCAAUAGGAUUAAGUCACAAAAUCAGACAGAAACAAAUGAACAAAAAUGACAUGAACCAGUAAUUGAGUAUGAAAUUUUGUGUGGGUAAAGCACCCAGCCUUCUAUUUCUUCUUAGAAGCUUAAAUGUAUCUUCUUAUCAUAGUCAUAUAAAAGUGUGAUGUUUAUAGAAAUCAUUUUUUAAAAGCCACAUGGUUGAGAUCUACAGAAGACAAACAGGAGGAUCCUUUUCUAAUAUCCACUGCCCUAAUUAACAGAUAUACUAUUAAGUCAAGACAGACUGUAGAAAUGUUUGAAAAAGCCCCAUCUGUAGUAGGGAUUUCUGAGUAUAUCAUUGCUUAACCACACACAAAACUAAAUGCCUAAUGUGCUAAAAUAAAUGCCUAUAGGGUACAGACAAACUCAUUCUCGUUCAAUUUCUCAGCUAAUUUUUAUAUUAAUGUAAGUGUAAUGUCACAGCAAUAUAAAAGGCAAUAUAAGUUUUUGAUGACUUAAUCAAGCCAUAUAUGCUCUAUGGGCUUUUAAAUACAUUAACUUCCUUAUUUCUCAACCAACCAUUUAAUUUGUACAUUGUUUUUGGUGAUAAACUCAUUUACUUGCCAAAAGUCAAAAUUCUAUGCCAUUUUUUAAAUAAGAUUAAAACCUGGCCAUCUGGCUCAUUUGUCUAGUCAAGUAUAUUUACUCUGUCAUUAUUAGUGGUUGAAUUUGGCUUCAUAAAAUAACAAUCUGUACAAUUGCAUAGGAGUUGCUCUACUUCCUGAGAGAAUGUCACAUGAUUUAACGUCCUGUUAUUUGGUUGACAACCAUUCUUGGUAGCAUGGUCAAUGCUUUAAGUUCAAUGUACAGGAUGUAGUUAGGUUGAGUGAAUACAUUGUUGACAUCAGUAACUUCUUGGUUUGCUCUAUAUGACCCUCCUAUAAAUUAUUAUCAUUUUGGUUCCUAAUUCUGCACAAUAAACUAACCCAGAACUUUAGUUUAAUAUAGAUAUUUUACUAAGAUAACUAAUAAUUUAGGUUGUCUUAUGUAUUGAGGUAGGGAGAUAUUGAUGAAAAGACUCAAUGUUUGCAAAUGAUACUAGAGCCUGAUGAUGGUAGAAUGUUCUGGUGUCUUUAUUCAUCUAUCUGGUAUUUGAUCCUGGAUAUUAUCUACACUGUCAGUAGAGGCUGCUGAAAUUAACACUUAUAAAACAUUGUGUAUCCCCAGUCAUUUCAAGUUAAAGGAUGCCCUCACUUACAUAGAGAAUUUAAAUCCAGCCUAAACUAAAGAAGAUCCUGUUUCAAAAACAAAGAAAACAAAGCAAUCAAAUAACACAACGGAUUCUUCUUGUAACAUUAUCUUCCUCGGAGUAAUUUAACAUCACUGUAAAGAGAUUUCUAAUGAAAGAAUUAUUCCAGAAGAUAUCUUUUACAAUUGAAGUCUGUAAACAACAUUGGAGAAUAUACUGCAGAGCAUCUGAAGUGGACUGUCCGCAAACGAUAGAAGAAGCAAAUCAGAUUCUGUCAAGAUAAUAAUUUCCACACCCUGACCCACAGAAUUCAUUAUUAGAUUAUACAUAUCACUAAUUUUACGACUGUAAAUUGUGCAUCUAUAGGAUUAUCUAAUAGUUAAAUCUUAAUUGCCAUCUUCUAUGUUUGGAAAAGGCAGGCAUAAUAUUUUAGGACAAAGGAAAAUCCUUGCAAUUGAAAAUUAUAUAAUGACGUAAGAUGAGUAUUUUCAAAAGAAAAGUGGCUGUGUAAUGGAUUAGAGACUGCAUAAUAAUUUAAUUAUGUAAAGAGAUUAGCAAUCACAGCAAUAGUAAAAAUAUUAAAAAAUGAAUCUAGUCUUA
This is a non-coding RNA of Rattus norvegicus (Norway rat), 5267 nucleotides long. The record is from RefSeq and is a predicted model, not a curated record. Lineage: Eukaryota; Metazoa; Chordata; Mammalia; Rodentia; Muridae.